RNAcentral lists this long non-coding RNA (99 nucleotides) under Junco hyemalis (dark-eyed junco). Its description in RNAcentral is "lncRNA (ENSJHYG00000009386.1)". The record is from RNAcentral. Lineage: Eukaryota; Metazoa; Chordata; Aves; Passeriformes; Passerellidae.
AUCCUCAAGAAAAUAGGAAUGAGGAAAACAGCUUAAUACUGAGCUGAGAAAAACAGAGGGUGCAUACGCCCCGGCAGGGAUGCACGUGGGUCAGUGACA